UGGGGCCCGAGCCCCGCCCGGCCCGCCAGCUAGGAGUUCGGCUCUUGCUGCCCAAGGCCCUUGCGAAAACACUCCAGCCUUAUCUUAAGAAAGGGAAAAGUGUGGGUGGACUCCCCGCAGGCUAAGAGUAGCUAAGAGUGUGCUUAGGAGAAAAGAGUUCAAGUGUGUGAGUCAGACAGCCUGAGCUUCAAAUAAGAUGUGUCCCCUUUAGCGACUUUAGGGCUUUGGGCAAGUUUUCUGACUUCUGGAAGACCAAGAAACCACCCACGGCAAGGCUGAAGGCGGACAAGGAACCAUGCCCGGUGCCUGCACCAGGGACCAGUUUCAUGGAAGACAGUAAUUCCACAGACGGGGACAGAGAAGAUGGUGAGUGACCGGGAGCGGCUGUAAAUACCGAUGAAGCUUCGCUCACUCGCCGCUCACCUCCUGCUGUGUGGCCCGGUUCCUAACAGCCCACGGAAAACAUUCGCUGAUCCCUGUUUUAUAGUAUAUUAUUUUGGGGUCUCAUUCAAGCCUUCUGCAGAGAUUAAAGAGUCAGGACUGUUUUUCAGGGAAAACGGUGACCCUAUUGGAAGGCAUCCCCUCAACCUAACCCCCAUGCAUAGCUGGGGGCCUUCAUUAGGCACAAACCCCAGUUGGCUUCUUUAAGACUCCGUCCCUGCCUUUGGGUGAUUGUCAAAGUAAUUUGAUUUGCUUUGAAUUUCUUUUCCUAAUGCUGUUUUUAAAAAAUACUGAUCAUUUGAAUUACAAAAGCAGUGUGUAUCUUUUGUAGCAAUUCAAACAAUAAAGAAGUGUCUAAAAUAAAAUUGUCUCUCUACUCCUCUCCAACCCAACUCCCUG
Non-coding RNA from Microcebus murinus (gray mouse lemur), 840 nucleotides. Lineage: Eukaryota; Metazoa; Chordata; Mammalia; Primates; Cheirogaleidae. The record is from RefSeq and is a predicted model, not a curated record.